AAGGAAGUUGCACAUAACUUCCCCUACAUCUCCUCCCAAAUUGAUAUAGAAUCUUCAAAAACACAUGGAGCAACUUGGAAAAGAAAUGGCUGAGGAUAUACUAAAAAUGUCUGAGUUCAACAAAGCCAACAACUGUUUCAUGUGUGCCACUGAUAAAGAACCUGGAUGUGGCCCAAAGACUGACUGGGAAUGAAGACAAAAGAGUUCAACAGAGUAAAGAACACAAACUAGAAGUGCAGUCUUUGUUGUUGUAAAUGUAUGCUAUACCCCAUCCACACUGAAGAGGCUCUGACAUGUACAUCAACCAGGGAUAAUGUCUGCUAUACCCCAUCCACACUGAAGA
This is a long non-coding RNA of Oncorhynchus tshawytscha (Chinook salmon), 343 nucleotides long. RefSeq lists it as uncharacterized. The transcript has 3 exons. NCBI's taxonomy places the organism in Eukaryota, Metazoa, Chordata, Actinopteri, Salmoniformes, Salmonidae. The record is from RefSeq and is a predicted model, not a curated record.